This 232-nucleotide ribosomal RNA is filed under the name uncultured bacterium. RNAcentral's name for it is "partial 16S ribosomal RNA". It matches the Rfam family "Bacterial small subunit ribosomal RNA", at positions 118 to 347 of the family's 1533-position model. The record is from RNAcentral.
UGAGUAAUCUGCCCUCCACUUCGGGAUAAGCGCCGGAAACGGCGUCUAAUACCGAAUACGACGCACUCUCGCAUGAGAUACGCGUGGAAAGUUUUAUCGGUGGAGGAUGUGCUCGCGGCCUAUCAGCUUGUUGGUGAGGUAACGCUCACCAAGGCUUCGACGGGUAGCCGGCCUGAGAGGGUGACCCGGCCACACGUGGGACUGAGACACGGCCCAGACCUCCGUACGGGGA